This 148-nucleotide transfer RNA is filed under the name Bulbophyllum leopardinum. RNAcentral's name for it is "partial tRNA-His". The record is from RNAcentral. Lineage: Eukaryota; Viridiplantae; Streptophyta; Magnoliopsida; Asparagales; Orchidaceae.
UUUUUCCAUUUUUUAAAUUGGCAUUCUAUGUCCAAUAUCUCGAUCUUAAUCUGAAGUAUAAUGAUGAAUGGAAAAAAGAGAUUUAGCUAGAUAAGGGAAGGGGCGGAUGUAGCCAAGUGGAUCAAGGCAGUGGAUUGUGAAUCCACCC